UGGGCACUUACGCAUGAUAUCAUAUUGUCAACAAAUUUAAUGCAUGCACAUCAUUACAUCAUUGUGAGUACCGAGGUAUUUAUGUGUUCUUUCACACACAUUACUUCCUAUAUAUGUAACACUAACUAGUACCAUCUUCGGUUUUCAACCCUACAUCCAAUAAGCCUAGGAUUUUAAUCUUUUUUCAAACUGAUUGUAUCAAAAAAAUUGAUUGCUCAUAUCAGUAUUUAUAUACAUUUUAUAACAGCAAACACUAAACCUCUUUGACACCAAGUUUUAUAUAGAUUUUGAAACAGCAAACAUCAGCAGAGAUUCAUCACUUUUUAAUCAGCUUAAAAUGGUCCAAGAUAGCAAUAUUCGUCCCCAAGAUAGCAAUGUUCGUCCCCGAGGCAGCAAUGAACACCCACCUUGUUAAAUCAAUGACUCAUACUUAAAAUUGUUGAGAAGCACCGCAUAGACCAAACAUGAUUAUUUAGAGCAACCAAAAGACAACUGGACAACACUACAAGAACUGACAGGUUAUCGUCUUCACAAGCACACACAGCACCAACACAGCAGCACCAACACAGCGGUAGCAAGUACAACAAUACAAACAUGUGCAGUAAAUCAAAGAGGAUGCAUAGUAAAGAGUAAGAAAACGAACACACCUUGAAGGAAAAUCUGCACCGAUAAAACCAACCACCUCAGCAAAAACACCGCACCAUGAACAGUAAGACCACCGCACCGCACCACCGCACUGCACUAACACUCAGAACAAAGGUAAAGCAUAAAGGAUGAAGGAGGUGGGAAGAAGAGAGAAACGGAAGUGAGAGGAAGAGGCGGAUCUCAAAAAUGUUUUGGGGGGUGGGCUGUGAGGAGAAUAAAAGUG
This 868-nucleotide long non-coding RNA is filed under the name Vigna radiata. RNAcentral describes it as "long non-coding RNA (VRAD_LNC004791)". Lineage: Eukaryota; Viridiplantae; Streptophyta; Magnoliopsida; Fabales; Fabaceae. The record is from RNAcentral.